GACAGAGGGUGCAAGCGUUGUUCGGAAUUAUUGGGCGUAAAGGGCGCGUAGGCGGCCUCGUAAGUCAGAUGUGAAAGCCCAGGGCUUAACCCUGGAAGUGCAUCUGAUACUGCUUGGCUCGAGUCUCGGAGAGGAUGGUGGAAUUCCCAGUGUAGAGGUGAAAUUCGUAGAUAUUGGGAGGAACACCGGUGGCGAAGGCGACCAUCUGGACGAAGACUGACGCUGAGGCGCGAAAGCGUGGGGAGCAAACAGG
This 253-nucleotide ribosomal RNA is filed under the name uncultured bacterium. RNAcentral's name for it is "partial 16S ribosomal RNA". It matches the Rfam family "Bacterial small subunit ribosomal RNA", at positions 524 to 776 of the family's 1533-position model. The record is from RNAcentral.